GAGGAGCCGGCGUCAGGGACACAGACACCGGCCAGUCACCAGCUGCCAUCCUGGGCAGGGAGCCCUGGGGCCACCAUAGGAGUGUGUCCUGCUGAAACCUCCUUUCUUCUCCUGGGAGGCCGGGGAUGGCCAGCGUGCCGACCGUGGCUGUGGGACCUCUGUGAGGGGCUGUGGGGCCUGGGAUGGAUGGACCUGUUCGAACCCUGAACUUAAAGAGGAAAGACCUUCAUUUUCUUGGCCUCCUUGCGUCCCCUCCCAUACUAUCUAGCUCUUUCCCCCUUCCCCGGAGCUCCUGAGAGACCAAUUGCAAAUGACCUCAGCUUGGCAGGGUCUGUUGGGGGACAGGCCCAGGGAUUUGGGAUCAGGAAGACCUGGAGUGCGGGCAUACCAGCUGUGCAUCGGGAUUUGAUGCUGCAGACUCAUUCCCUAAGGCUAUCUUGACAACUGACUUUAUACAUAGAAAAGCUCUCCUUUAUCUUUAAAAGAUGAAGAGCCAGUCAAAGCCUUUUUUCUCUGCCCAUCUGAUUGCUCAGUUUCCAAUGUGAGACGUAUUUCCUGUUAAUAAGGAUAAGUUACUAUCCGUAGUACUAUGGUUAAAAUAUUCUGACACAAGUAAUUCAGAGGGAUGAGGGUUUCUCAUCUCUUUCUUCACAGCUCAGUCACUCCUCAGGAAAUGCAUCGUUAUGGAUUUGGAAAAAACUGAGAGACAUUAUUACCAAUGGUCCUAUUAUUAUGUGAAGGAUCCUUCCCUGAGAUUCUUCCCCUGUUUCAACUGACACUGAAACACUUUGAACUCUUUGGAAGACAAAUGUCAAGGAAAUAAAUGUUAUGCCUUGCUAAUUUUAAAA
Canis lupus familiaris (dog) is the source of this 848-nucleotide long non-coding RNA. RefSeq lists it as uncharacterized. NCBI's taxonomy places the organism in Eukaryota, Metazoa, Chordata, Mammalia, Carnivora, Canidae. The transcript has 2 exons. The record is from RefSeq and is a predicted model, not a curated record.